UACGUGAGGUGCAAGCGUUGUCCGGAAUUAUUGGGCGUAAAGAGCUCGUAGGCGGUCUGUCGCGUCGGAUGUGAAAACCCAGGGCUCAACCCUGGGCCUGCAUUCGAUACGGGCAGACUAGAGUUCGGUAGGGGAGACUGGAAUUCCCGGUGUAGCGGUGAAAUGCGCAGAUAUCGGGAAGAACACCCGUGGCGAAGGCGGCUCUCUGGGACGGUACUGACGCUGAGACGCGAAAGCGUGGGGAGCGAACAGG
Molecule: ribosomal RNA, 253 nt
Filed under: uncultured bacterium
Lineage: Bacteria
Description: partial 16S ribosomal RNA
Rfam family: Bacterial small subunit ribosomal RNA
Source: RNAcentral